UACGUAGGGUGCGAGCGUUGUCCGGAAUUAUUGGGCGUAAAGAGCUCGUAGGCGGUGUGUCGCGUCGGCCGUGAAAACCUGGGGCUCAACUCUGGGCGUGCGGUCGAUACGGGCAUCACUUGAGUUCGGCAGGGGAGACUGGAAUUCCUGGUGUAGCGGUGAAAUGCGCAGAUAUCAGGAGGAACACCGGUGGCGAAGGCGGUUCUCUGGGCCUUACCUGACGCUGAGGAGCGAAAGUGUGGGGAGCGAACAGG
This 254-nucleotide ribosomal RNA is filed under the name uncultured bacterium. RNAcentral describes it as "partial 16S ribosomal RNA". It matches the Rfam family "Bacterial small subunit ribosomal RNA", at positions 524 to 776 of the family's 1533-position model. The record is from RNAcentral.